AGAAGAGGCCCUAACGAUGCCGACAUAUGGAUUGGCGCUGACCACAGCGCAACUCAGCAGGUCCAAAAUGGGAUAUCUCGACAUCGAGGUGGCUAUCAACAACAACACCUUAACAGCAGCGGUCCGCAGAGGACCACUGUGCCAACCGGUCGUCAUACCAAGCUGGUCCCCAGACUCACUAUCGAGCGGGGGGGCUGCAUUUCGAGCAUUUUUCGGAAGAGCAUACAGGUGCUGCGCCGCGGACGGGAGGCUUGGGGAGGAACUUGAAUACAUAUACAGAGUGGGUGGGAAGCACGGAUGCGGGCUGGGCCUCG
Molecule: long non-coding RNA, 314 nt
Filed under: Androctonus crassicauda
Lineage: Eukaryota; Metazoa; Arthropoda; Arachnida; Scorpiones; Buthidae
Source: RNAcentral